RNAcentral lists this ribosomal RNA (468 nucleotides) under uncultured bacterium. Its description in RNAcentral is "partial 16S ribosomal RNA". It matches the Rfam family "Bacterial small subunit ribosomal RNA", at positions 28 to 507 of the family's 1533-position model. The record is from RNAcentral.
GACGAACGCUGGCGGCGUGCUUAACACAUGCAAGUCGAACGGAAAGGCCCUGCUUUUGUGGGGUGCUCGAGUGGCGAACGGGUGAGUAACACGUGAGUAACCUGCCCUUGACUUUGGGAUAACUUCAGGAAACUGGGGCUAAUACCGGAUAGGAGCUCCUGCUGCAUGGUGGGGGUUGGAAAGUUUCGGCGGUUGGGGAUGGACUCGCGGCUUAUCGGCUUGUUGGUGGGGUAGUGGCUUACCAAGGCUUUGACGGGUAGCCGGCCUGAGAGGGUGACCGGCCACAUUGGGACUAAGAUACGGACCAGACUCCUACGGGAGGCAGCAGUGGGGAAUAUUGCACAAUGGGCGGAAGCCUGAUGCAGCAACGCCGCGUGCGGAAUGACGGCCUUCGGGUUGUAAACCGCUUUCGCCUGUGACGAAGCGUGAGUGACGGUAAUGGGUAAAGAAGCACCGGCUAACUACGUG